GCCGGGGUAGCUCAGUUGGUAGAGCGAGGGUAUCGUAAACCCUAGGUCGCCAGUUCAAUCCUGGCCCCCGGCU
Molecule: transfer RNA, 73 nt
Filed under: Minisyncoccota bacterium
Lineage: Bacteria; Bacillati; Minisyncoccota
Also listed under: 2 other names
Description: tRNA-Thr
Rfam family: tRNA
About the family: Transfer RNA (tRNA) molecules are approximately 80 nucleotides in length. Their secondary structure includes four short double-helical elements and three loops (D, anti-codon, and T loops).
Source: RNAcentral